Molecule: ribosomal RNA, 422 nt
Filed under: uncultured Sphingobacteriales bacterium
Lineage: Bacteria; Pseudomonadati; Bacteroidota; Sphingobacteriia; Sphingobacteriales
Description: bacterial SSU rRNA
Rfam family: Bacterial small subunit ribosomal RNA
Source: RNAcentral
AGUAAGGAAUAUUGGACAAUGCCCGCAAGGGUGAUCCAGCCAUGCCGCGUGCAGGAAGAAGGCCCUAUGGGUCGUAAACUGCUUUUACACCAGAGAAAACCCUCCUUCGUGAAGGAGGCUGAUAGUACGGUGAGAAUAAGCAUCGGCUAACUUCGUGCCAGCAGCCGCGGUAAGACGAAGGAUGCAAGCGUUAUCCGGAUUCAUUGGGUUUAAAGGGAGCGUAGGCGGCCUUAUAAGUCAGUGGUGAAAUCUCGCAGCUUAACUGCGAAAUUGCCAUUGAUACUGUAGGGCUUGAGUACAGUUGCCGUUGGCGGAAUAUGACAUGUAGUGGUGAAAUACAUAGAGAUGUCAUAGAACACCGAUUGCGAAGGCAGCUAACGAAACUGUAACUGACGCUGAGGCUCGAAAGUGUGGGGAUCAAA